RNAcentral lists this ribosomal RNA (629 nucleotides) under uncultured bacterium. Its description in RNAcentral is "bacterial SSU rRNA". It matches the Rfam family "Bacterial small subunit ribosomal RNA", at positions 277 to 898 of the family's 1533-position model. The record is from RNAcentral.
AGACGGGUAGCUGGUCUGAGAGGAUGAACAGCCACACUGGAACUGAGACACGGUCCAGACUCCUACGGGAGGCAGCAGUCGGGAAUCUUCCGCAAUGGGCGAAAGCCUGACGGAGCGACGCCGCGUGAGUGAUGAAGGCCUUCGGGUUGUAAAGCUCUGUGGGGAGAGAAGAAUAAGUUCAAGUUAAUACCUUGAAUGAUGACGGUAUCUCCUUAGCAAGCACCGGCUAACUCUGUGCCAGCAGCCGCGGUAAGACAGAGGGUGCAAACGUUGUUCGGAUUUACUGGGCGUAAAGCGUGUGUAGGCGGCUUCGCAAGUUGGAUGUGAAAUCCCACGGCUCAACCGUGGACGUGCAUCCAAAACUGCGUCGCUAGAGUCUCGGAGAGGAAGGUGGAAUGCUUGGUGUAGAGGUGAAAUUCGUAGAUAUCAAGCAGAACACCUGCGGCGAAGGCGGCCUUCUGGACGAUGACUGACGCUGAGACACGAAAGCGUGGGGAGCAAACAGGAUUAGAUACCCUGGUAGUCCACGCCGUAAACGAUGAGUGCUAGGUGUCACGGGCUUUGACCCUCGUGGUGCCGUAGCUAACGCAAUAAGCACUCCGCCUGGGGAGUACGGUCGCAAGACUAAA